GCCCAGUUAGCUCAGCUGGUAGAGCACUUCCAUGGUAAGGAAGGGGUCGUCGGUUCGAGUCCGACACUGGGCU
RNAcentral lists this transfer RNA (73 nucleotides) under Solirubrobacteraceae bacterium. RNAcentral's name for it is "tRNA-Thr". It matches the Rfam family "tRNA". From Rfam's summary of the family: Transfer RNA (tRNA) molecules are approximately 80 nucleotides in length. Their secondary structure includes four short double-helical elements and three loops (D, anti-codon, and T loops). Further hydrogen bonds mediate the characteristic L-shaped molecular structure. tRNAs have two regions of fundamental functional importance: the anti-codon, which is responsible for specific mRNA codon recognition, and the 3' end, to which the tRNAs corresponding amino acid is attached (by aminoacyl-tRNA synthetases). tRNAs cope with the degeneracy of the genetic code in two manners: having more than one tRNA (with a specific anti-codon) for a particular amino acid; and 'wobble' base-pairing, i.e. permitting non-standard base-pairing at the 3rd anti-codon position. Lineage: Bacteria; Bacillati; Actinomycetota; Thermoleophilia; Solirubrobacterales; Solirubrobacteraceae. RNAcentral also lists the same sequence under 2 other names. The record is from RNAcentral.